RNAcentral lists this ribosomal RNA (460 nucleotides) under uncultured bacterium. RNAcentral describes it as "partial 16S ribosomal RNA". It matches the Rfam family "Bacterial small subunit ribosomal RNA", at positions 338 to 795 of the family's 1533-position model. The record is from RNAcentral.
CCUACGGGUGGCAGCAGUGAGGAAUAUUGGUCAAUGGUCGGGAGCCUAAACCAGCCAAGUCGCGUGAGGGAGGACUGCCCUACGGAUUGUAAACUUCUUUUGUAAAGGAAUAAAGUAGGGCACGUGUCCCUGUUUGUAUGUACUUUAUGAAUAAGCAUCAACUAACUCCGUUCCAGCAGCCGCGGUAAUACGGAGGAUCCGAGCGUUAUCCGGAUUUAUUGGGUUUAAAGGGAGCGUAGACGGGUUGUUAAGUCAGUGGUGAAAGUUUGCGGCUCAACCGUAAAAGUGCAAUUGAUACUGGCAGCCUCGAGUACAGGUGAGGUAGGCGGAAUGCGUGGUGUAGCGGUGAAAUGCUUAGAUAUCACGAAGAACUCAGAUUGCGAAGGCAGCCUACUAAAUUGCCACUGACAUUGAUGCUCGAAAGUGUGGGUAUCAAACAGGAUUAGAUACCCGAGUAGUC